GAUGAACGCUGGCGGCGUGCUUAAUACAUGCAAGUCGAGCGAACAGACGUGGUUCCUGCUCCUCUCACGUUAGCGGCGGAUAGGUAAGUAACACGUGGAUAACCUCCAUAAAAGGCUGGGAUUACUACGGGAAACCGGAGCGAGUACCGGAUAAUAUAUUGAACCGCAUGGGUCAAUAGCGAAAGACGGGCUUGCUGUCGAUGAUAGAUGGUACCGGGCCGCAUUAGCUUGUUGGUAAGGGAACGGCUUACCACGGCAACGGUGCGUAGCCGACCUGGGAGGGUGUUCGGCGCCACUGGGACAGGGACACCGUCCAGACUCCUACGGGAGGCAGCAGUAGGGAAUCUUCCGCGAUAGGCGAAGGCCUGACGGAGCAACGCCGCGUGGGUGAUGAAGGUCUUCGGAUCGUGAGGCUGUGUUACUAGGGAUGGACAAAUGUGUAAGUAGCAGUGCACAUCUUGACGGUACCUAAUCAGAAAGCCACGGCUAACUACGUG
Molecule: ribosomal RNA, 497 nt
Filed under: uncultured bacterium
Lineage: Bacteria
Description: partial 16S ribosomal RNA
Rfam family: Bacterial small subunit ribosomal RNA
Source: RNAcentral